Molecule: ribosomal RNA, 231 nt
Filed under: uncultured bacterium
Lineage: Bacteria
Description: partial 16S ribosomal RNA
Rfam family: Bacterial small subunit ribosomal RNA
Source: RNAcentral
GGACGGGUGAGUAAUGUCUGGGAAACUGCCCGAUGGAGGGGGAUAACUACUGGAAACGGUAGCUAAUACCGCAUAACGUCGCAAGACCAAAGAGGGGGACCUUCGGGCCUCUUGCCAUCGGAUGUGCCCAGAUGGGAUUAGCUAGUAGGUGGGGUAACGGCUCACCUAGGCGACGAUCCCUAGCUGGUCUGAGAGGAUGACCAGCCACACUGGAACUGAGACACGGUCCAG